RNAcentral lists this ribosomal RNA (440 nucleotides) under uncultured bacterium. RNAcentral describes it as "partial 16S ribosomal RNA". It matches the Rfam family "Bacterial small subunit ribosomal RNA", at positions 338 to 795 of the family's 1533-position model. The record is from RNAcentral.
CCUACGGGAGGCAGCAGUGGGGGAUAUUGCACAAUGGGGGAAACCCUGAUGCAGCGACGCAGCGUGAGGGAAGAAGUAUUUCGGUAUGGAAAGCUCUAUCAGCAGGGAAGAAAAUGACAGUACCUGACCAAGAAGCCCCGGCUAACUACGUGCCAGCAGCCGCGGUAAUACGUAGGGGGCAAGCGUAAUCCGGAUUAACUGGGUGUAAAGGGAGCGUAGACGGUUAUGUAAGUCUGGAGUGAAAGCCCGGGGCCCAACCCCGGGACUGCUUUGGAAACUGUGUAACUUGAGUACAGGAGGGGCAGGCGGAAUUCCUGGUGUAGCGGUGAAAUGCUUAGAUAUCAGGAGGAACACCGGCGGCGAAGGCGGCCUGCUGGACUGUAACUGACGUUGAGGCUCGAAAGCGUGGGGAGCAAACAGGAUUAGAUACCCCUGUAGUC